GAUGAACGCUAGCGGCGUGCCUAACACAUGCAAGUCGAACGGACGGAUCUGCAAGUCUUCGGAUGAGCAGUGAAGUUAGUGGCGAACGGGUGAGUAACACGUAGGUGACCUGCCCCGAAGUGGGGAGUAAUCCUUCGAAGGAGGACUAAUCCGCAUGGUCUCCGUGUGGUUUGAGGACACGGAGUAAAGCAUUGGCGCUUUGGGAGGGGCCGUGCGGCCGAUUAGCUAGUUGGUGGGGUAAUGGCUCACCAAGGCGACGAUCGGUAGCUGGUCUGAGAGGACGAUCAGCCACACUGGCACUGGGACACGGGCCAGACACCUACGGGAGGCUG
RNAcentral lists this ribosomal RNA (332 nucleotides) under uncultured Chloroflexota bacterium. RNAcentral describes it as "bacterial SSU rRNA". It matches the Rfam family "Bacterial small subunit ribosomal RNA", at positions 28 to 351 of the family's 1533-position model. The record is from RNAcentral. Lineage: Bacteria; Bacillati; Chloroflexota.